Molecule: ribosomal RNA, 395 nt
Filed under: Acanthamoeba genotype T4
Lineage: Eukaryota; Discosea; Longamoebia; Acanthamoebidae
Description: SSU rRNA
Rfam family: Eukaryotic small subunit ribosomal RNA
Source: RNAcentral
UUUUCUGCCACCGAAUACAUUAGCAUGGGAUAAUGGAAUAGGACCCUGUCCUCCUAUUUUCAGUUGGUUUUGGCAGCGCGAGGACUAGGGUAAUGAUUAAUAGGGAUAGUUGGGGGCAUUAAUAUUUAAUUGUCAGAGGUGAAAUUCUUGGAUUUAUGAAAGAUUAACUUCUGCGAAAGCAUCUGCCAAGGAUGUUUUCAUUAAUCAAGAACGAAAGUUAGGGGAUCGAAGACGAUCAGAUACCGUCGUAGUCUUAACCAUAAACGAUGCCGACCAGCGAUUAGGAGACGUUGAAUACAAAACACCACCAUCGGUGCGGUCGUCCUUGGCGUCGGUCUUUCGGGGCCGGCGCGGGGACGGCUUAGCCCGGUGGCACCGGUGAAUGACUCCCCUAG